Molecule: ribosomal RNA, 279 nt
Filed under: uncultured bacterium
Lineage: Bacteria
Description: partial 16S ribosomal RNA
Rfam family: Bacterial small subunit ribosomal RNA
Source: RNAcentral
UGCCAGCCGCCGCGGUAAUACGAAUGUUGCGAGCGUUGUUCGGAUUUACUGGGCUUAAAGGGUGUGUAGGCGGUUCAUUGAGUCAGGUGUGAAAGUCUGCGGCUCAACCGUAGAAUUGCGCCUGAUACUGAUGAACUUGAGUAAGGAGGAGGAGAGUGGAAUUCUAGGUGUAGCGGUGAAAUGCGUAGAUAUCUAGGAGAAGACCAGUGGCGAAGGCGACUCUCUAUUCCAUUACUGACGCUGAGACACGAAAGCCAGGGUAGCGAAAGGGAUUAGAUA